This is a long non-coding RNA of Dendronephthya gigantea, 220 nucleotides long. RefSeq lists it as uncharacterized. NCBI's taxonomy places the organism in Eukaryota, Metazoa, Cnidaria, Anthozoa, Malacalcyonacea, Nephtheidae. The transcript has 6 exons. The record is from RefSeq and is a predicted model, not a curated record.
AUAUAAGAUCAUCUACAAGGAGAGAAAAAAUGGAAAAUGAAGAAGAAGUACUUGAAAUUGAAGUUGAUGCAGAGGGUGAUGAAGAUCUAAGAGAAGCAGAGCAACCUGCCGUGGCAGUGGAUGGGCCAGAAGAUCAUCCACUCCCUGCACCACAAGGGAGAGGCUUGCCCCCAGAACAUCAUCCGCUCCCUGCUCUUCGGGGGAAAGGCUUGCUCCCAAG